Molecule: transfer RNA, 77 nt
Filed under: Nitrospinota bacterium
Lineage: Bacteria; Pseudomonadati; Nitrospinota
Also listed under: 1 other name
Description: tRNA-Pro
Rfam family: tRNA
About the family: Transfer RNA (tRNA) molecules are approximately 80 nucleotides in length.
Source: RNAcentral
CGGGACGUGGCUCAGCCUGGUAGAGCACUGCGUUCGGGACGCAGGGGUCGCAGGUUCAAAUCCUGUCGUCCCGACCA